Molecule: ribosomal RNA, 460 nt
Filed under: uncultured bacterium
Lineage: Bacteria
Description: partial 16S ribosomal RNA
Rfam family: Bacterial small subunit ribosomal RNA
Source: RNAcentral
CCUACGGGAGGCAGCAGUGAGGAAUAUUGGUCAAUGGGCGCGAGCCUGAACCAGCCAAGUAGCGUGAAUGAUGACUGCCCUCCGUGUUGUAAACUUCUUUUAUAAAGGAAUUAAGUGAGGCACGUGUGCCUUUUUCUAUGUACUUUAUGAAUAAGGCUCGGCUAACUCCGUGCCAGCAGCAGCGGUAAUACGGAGGAUCCGAGCGUUAUCCGGAUUUAUUGGGUGUAAAGGGAGAGUAGAUGGGUUGGUAAGUCAGUUGUGAAAGUUUGCGGCUCAACCGUAAAAUUGCAAUUGAUACUGGCAGCCUGGAGUACAGGUGAGGUAGGCGGAAUUCGUGGUGUAGCGGUGAAAUGCGUAGAUAUCACGAAGAACUCCGAUUGCGAAGGCAGCUUACUAAACUGCCACUGACAUUGAUGCUCGAAAGUGUGGGUAUCAAACAGGAUUAGAUACCCUUGUAGUC